AGUGAACGCUGGCGGUAGGCCUAACACAUGCAAGUCGAACGGCAGCACAGUAAGAGCUUGCUCUUACGGGUGGCGAGUGGCGGACGGGUGAGGAAUACAUCGGAAUCUACUUUUUCGUGGGGGAUAACGUAGGGAAACUUACGCUAAUACCGCAUACGACCUUCGGGUGAAAGCAGGGGAUCUUCUGACCUUGCGCGAUUGAAUGAGCCGAUGUCGGAUUAGCUAGUUGGCGGGGUAAAGGCCCACCAAGGCGACGAUCCGUAGCUGGUCUGAGAGGAUGAUCAGCCACACUGGAACUGAGACACGGUCCAGACUCCUACGGGAGGCAGCAGUGGGGAAUAUUGGACAAUGGGCGCAAGCCUGAUCCAGCCAUACCGCGUGGGUGAAGAAGGCCUUCGGGUUGUAAAGCCCUUUUGUUGGGAAAGAAAAGCAGCAGGUUAAUACCCCGCUGUUCUGACGGUACCCAAAGAAUAAGCACCGGCUAACUUCGUG
This 492-nucleotide ribosomal RNA is filed under the name uncultured bacterium. RNAcentral describes it as "partial 16S ribosomal RNA". It matches the Rfam family "Bacterial small subunit ribosomal RNA", at positions 29 to 507 of the family's 1533-position model. The record is from RNAcentral.